Homarus americanus (American lobster) is the source of this 810-nucleotide long non-coding RNA. RefSeq lists it as uncharacterized. The transcript has 3 exons. Lineage: Eukaryota; Metazoa; Arthropoda; Malacostraca; Decapoda; Nephropidae. The record is from RefSeq and is a predicted model, not a curated record.
CGGUCUUUAAUUUGCUUAUAAUCCUUUUUGUCUUAAAAUUUGAAUUUUCUUAGGAAGAAGUGUUUAUGUCAACCAAGUAAAUGUAAGUGACAAUUAGCAUGACCACUUUUCAACAGGACGUUGCGACUUCUACAGACUUAAGGAAAAGUUUCUACCCAUUUUUUUAUCUGCUGCAGUACCCAAAAAUAGUCCUCUUCAACAACCCUUAAGUAAAAGGAUUAUGUCAUUAACAGAGGCAGGACUGUAUAACUAUAUAUUCAAUUCUGCCAUUCCAAAUUUUACGUCAUGCCAAUCACCUCCGUCCAGGAUAUCAGUCAGCACAACUCUCUCUCUGACCAACUUAUGGGGCAUCUUUGUGGUCCUCGUUGGUGGACUCAUCAUCAGUCUGGUCAUCCUGGCUCUAGAGAUUCUAUCAUUUCAGUUUCUUCAAUGAUGAAACUGCAAGAAACGUAUUAUGUUAUCGAAAGAAAAAGAAGACAACGGAGAAGUCAUUAUACAGCAAGUCCCACAACAAUUUGAGACUUUAACUAAGACCUGUCGUACUUUAUAAUAUAUUCGUUAAUAAGUCUCUUAAUAUGAUGAUACUGCCAGCGUGAGUAAUCACCAGACCCUGGCGACAACUAAUUUAGAAUUAUAUCUAAAUACAAAUACAUUAUUCCUUUAACACCUAAAAGCAUAACUGCAGACAAUGGUUUGAUGUUGCACCUUUGGUUUAAUACAGAGACAGAAAGUAAUCGCACUUUCUACCUCAGCUUACGCUUGUAUGGUAUACUGUAGUCUGCAGUUGUCAAAUAUAUAUAUUAUAUGGCU